AUGAUUGGAUUUUACAACACAAACUACUAUAUUUACACAGUAUACAUCAACAGAUCUCAAACAAAACUAUAUUUCACAAGCCAAAUGGAUUACACUUCAGUACAGUACAUGAGUUCGAUCUGGACGCCGCGCCUCCCUGCAACCAUACUGUGUGCCCGUGCUCACCGGAGCAGCAGCAACCAACAGCCACGCCUUCUCCUUCCUUUCUCCAUGGACAAGAGCACACCAACAGCACUAUGGACGCCCGAGAGGAGCUCAAGCCGUCCGCCACCAAGGCGGAGCUCGCCACCCUCGUCCGGGCGCUGGAUCCGGUCGCCAAUCCCUGGAUCCAUUGGACCCCAUCAACUCCGUCAGCGCCAAGCCCCACCGCGGACAAAGGGGAGCAGCGGAGGCGGAGCCCCGCGGAUUGAGAGAAGGGAGAGAGGGAGGAAGAUGAGAGCAGUGGAGGCGGACGCCGACGGCGUGCGGAGGCCAGUGUCCCGCGGAGACGGGCCGAGGCCAGUGUUCCGCGGAGACGGGCCGAGGCCAGAUGCGGGCGGACGCCGGCGGCACGCGAAGGCCAGUGUCGCGCGGAGACGAGCCGAGGCCAGAUGCGGGCGGAGGCCGACGGCGCGCGGAGACAGGCAGAGGACGUAUGCGGGCGUAGGCGGCGGCGCGUGUAGACGGGCAGAGCCGGAUGCGGGCGGAGGCCGGCGGCGCGUGGAGACGGGCGGAGCCGGGCAGAGGCCGGCAGCGGGCGACUGCUGGUGCUCCGCUCCGGCGAGCUGCUGGUGCUCCAGCCCCUUGUGCCGCACGAGAUGGGUUUGGGCGAGGGGGCGUGGGGUGUGUGGUGUGAUAGCAUGCGUGGGUUGUGGAGGACGUGGGGUCGUGGGAUUGUGUGGUGUGCGUGGUGGGUGGUGGAAGAUCUCGAGUGAGUGGGUUGAGAUGAUGCCACGUCAGUGA
Molecule: ribosomal RNA, 942 nt
Filed under: Triticum aestivum (bread wheat)
Lineage: Eukaryota; Viridiplantae; Streptophyta; Magnoliopsida; Poales; Poaceae
Description: partial small subunit ribosomal RNA
Source: RNAcentral